CAUUCAGUAGCCUAGCUACUGGCAUGGGGAUUGUUAGUCUGUAUAGUAUUACUACUGUUGAGCAGCAGAUCCCCUGUCUCUACCCUUGUUUUUUGCGCACUCAUUGUUUCCUCGGCGAGCUUGCUCGCCGGUUGGACAAAAACUAUAACCUUUUUAAAUCUUCAAUCAGCGUCUGAAUUAUACUUAAUAAUUA
This 193-nucleotide unclassified non-coding RNA is filed under the name uncultured Ascomycota. RNAcentral describes it as "sequence contains ITS1". The record is from RNAcentral. Lineage: Eukaryota; Fungi; Ascomycota.